Molecule: RNase P RNA, 470 nt
Filed under: Treponema sp.
Lineage: Bacteria; Pseudomonadati; Spirochaetota; Spirochaetia; Treponematales; Treponemataceae
Description: RNase P RNA component class A
Rfam family: Bacterial RNase P class A
About the family: Ribonuclease P (RNase P) is a ubiquitous endoribonuclease, found in archaea, bacteria and eukarya as well as chloroplasts and mitochondria.
Source: RNAcentral
ACGAUGAACCAGGCUGCCGCGGGGGGGCCCAGGAAAGUCCCUGUACCGCCGCCAGGCGGAAGGGGGCAUGGGCGCCGUCCGAGGAAAGUCCGGGCUCCGCGGGGCACGAUGCCGGGUAACCCCCGGGCGGGAGGGGCGAAAGCCCCUUCCGACAGAAAGCGCAACAGAAAAUAUACAGCCGCUGGCGGCGGCCCCCAGGGGCCGGCAUCCGGCGGUAAUGGUGAAAUGGCGGGGUAAGAGCCCACCGCGGCGCCGGUAACGGUACCGUCGGCAAACCUCAUCGGGAGCAAAAUCAAGCGGCGCCGCAAAAGUUCGCUUUUGCGCCAACUGCCCGUUGGUCAAGCGCAGGUAGAUUGCCGGGGAAUUUCCCCGGAGGCCGUCCGUAAGGCCGGUCCAAGACAGAUGGCAGUCAAGGCCAAACCGCCUCCGGGCGUUUGGCGACAGAACCCGGCUUAUGGUUCAUCGUUUUU